AAUAGAAAGAUCAAGAACUCUGGAGCAUCUCAAUUUUCCACCUAUGAAUAGGUGUUUUCAGCUGAGCUUAAAUAAAUCAGGGCUUUGGCUAGAAAUAAAUGAUAAAGUUUUAUUCAGGGUCUUAGGGUUUGCAAACCAGAAACAACUGGGCAAUACCUAGAAUGUUCUCCAAGAAGAAAGAAAAGCUGAGGGUUCUUAAGAGGAAAAAGUACAUUCUUGAGAUGAAUCAGUCCUGCAUUAUUAGCCUCUGAUUAUAGUCCAAGAUGGUAAUCCUCUGGAUGGCAGGUGGGCUGGGUAAUGAAUGUCAAAUGGGCUGAAUAUGUGAAUAUUGUUUCCGUAGUUCUCCAGGUUUGAGGUAUAAUCCAGGCGCUGGUGCAGGACUGGAAUGAUCAAAAGUUUAAGUUCCCACGCUAGUUUAAAUAAGAAUAAAAUCCUUUUCUCAUACCUCAAUGUACUUCAUUUUAGUAAUUUAGCAGCUUGACUAUAGUGACUCCACUUUAUUUUUCCAUUCCAUUCCUCAGUAUUCAAAUUUUCAAACUGCAGCCACAUCGAUUAGGUUGAACCUUAUGAAAUUGGUUUCAUUAUCGAUGAAAACUGGAAUACCAGCAUUUCAGACAAUUCAACCUAAUAGUUACCUACUGUUUCCACAAGACCAUGUGUAAAAGAUGUUGUGGUGGGAAUUUUUUUGCACAAAAUGGGAUGUUAUUGACCUCUGAACAAUGACUUUAGGUUAAAUGUCCUGAGAUAGGUAUUAUAAAUGGGAAACCUGAAGUAAAGGGAAUACCUUAAUCUGUGCCUGUAUUGCUGACCUCCAGUCCUGGGCUCUUUCGGGUAUAAUUGAGCAAUUAGACAUAGGGUUCUCAGAUACAUGGUUUGAUAUUUCACUACCUUGAAACCCUGUGGGAGAAGUAUUAAAUGCCUACUUCAGCCAUCACAACUACCUCUAAGUCCUAGUUUUAAAACCAUCUUCAACCCAAAUGGAUCUCAUCUCAACCCCUCUCAUCCAAUCAGUUAUGGAGCCUAUGAAUUUUACCUCAGAGUAUCUCCCACCAUCUCCCAGCUCCACCAUUCUUCACCUGGCCCACACUUGUAACCCAUGGAUGCCCUUCCUUCAAUGCUUCCCCCUCUAAUAUGUCAUUGUAUUAGAAACAGUUAUUGAGUACCUACUAAGUGCCAGACACUGUGCUAGUUACCAGAAACAGAAAGGUAAGACAACCAUGUGAUAGUUUUAAAAACUGUCCUCAAGCUGUUUGAUACUCCUCCCUUCAAGGGGUGGCAAAUAAUCCCCCCACCCCCUUGAGUGUGACCUGGACUUAGUAGCUCACUGCUAACAAAUAGAAUAUGUGAUAAUUUCCAAGACUAGGUCAUAAAAGGCAUUUUGGGUUUUCUCCUUUCUCUUAUCUUGGAUCACUUGCUCUGGGGAAGCCAGCUGCCAUGUUGUAAGGAUACUCAAGCAGCUUAAUGAAGACAUCCUGAUGGCACGGAACAAAGGCCUCCCACCAACAACCAGCACUAAAUUGCCAGGUAUGUGAGUGAGCUAUCUUGGUAGCCGAUCCUCCAGCCCCAGUCAAGCCUUCAGAUGAUUGCAGACCCAGCUGACCUCUUGGUUCCAAAGCGAUGAGAGACCCUGAGCCAGAACUAGCCAGGCUUGUUCCUUGUGAUUACAAAGUGGCUGCAGCAGCUCCAGGCACUCCAUCCUUCAUAUAAAACCCAACAUCAGACAAGAAGAGGAGCAUUUUGAAGUGUAAAGAAAACUUUCUCAGAAACCCUGGAAUCCCCUCAUGCCUCACUGGCCAUAAUAGCACCACGAGAACAUUCCUAAAAUAGUCAUCGGCAAGGCGAGUGGAACUGGCAUGAUUGGAUUAACUUCACCAGGAAGGUAUCCUCAGAAGGACCAGAAGGAAUUCCAGCUGUUUUUGAAGAUCCUUACUACCCCUUACCUGAACAA
Phyllostomus discolor (pale spear-nosed bat) is the source of this 1948-nucleotide long non-coding RNA. RefSeq lists it as uncharacterized. NCBI's taxonomy places the organism in Eukaryota, Metazoa, Chordata, Mammalia, Chiroptera, Phyllostomidae. The record is from RefSeq and is a predicted model, not a curated record. The transcript has 2 exons.